Molecule: long non-coding RNA, 4195 nt
Filed under: Homo sapiens (human)
Lineage: Eukaryota; Metazoa; Chordata; Mammalia; Primates; Hominidae
Description: HSALNT0303814
Source: RNAcentral
UUUUGCUGUUUAAAUAUCAGUCCCAUUUGGAGCCAGCAAUCACAGAAGUCGACUAUGUGCUUAAAAAAAAUCAAUACAUUCCUAGGGUGAUGAUAAGUUAGAAGGGUCGUAAAUUACACGCAUGGCUUACGAGAAAUGGAUGGGGAGGUUUGCCCAGUAUAUUGACUAUUUUGUCUUUGAAACGUAGCCAUCAAUUAUGAUGGCCCCUUGUGCAGAAGAAGCCAGAUUUAUGACUGUGAUUGGAAAGGAGGAGUAAGUACAAGCUUUUACUGAGCUUUGACUUGGGGCCAGAAAUUGUAAAAGAAUUCUGAAUUCCGAAACACUUCUGGCUCAGGGACUGUUGACUCAUAUUGUACUAGCUGGAGAUAUCAUGGUGCAGUGGAUCACGCCUGUAAUCCCAGCAUUUUGGGAGACAGAGGCGGGUGGAUCACUUGAGGCCAAGAGUUCAAGACCAGCCUGGCCAAAAUGGGGAAACCUCCUCUCUUUGAAAAACACAAAAAUUAGCCCAGCAUAGUGGCGCAUGCCUGUAGUCCCAGCUACUCAGGAGGCUGACAGGAGAAUCGCUUGAACCCCAGAGGUGGAGGUUGCAGUGAGCAGAGAUUGCACCACUGCACUCCUGCACUCCAGCCUGGGUGACACCAAAAAAAGAAGAAGAAAGACGAAAGAAGAAGAAAGAAGAAAGAAGGAAACUAUUUCCAUUACUGUGAACAGCCUGUUCAUAUUGAGUUGUUGGUCUUAAAAAUCAAUUUAUAGAAAAUCAUUACAUAUUUGUGUAUAUUUUUGGCAUAAGUUAAAAUGUUUGUUCCUAGUUUUGUCUUUGGACUUAGCUUUUUAAAAAUAUUUUGCAUUAUAGAAGUGUUUUAUUAGGUGUAAAGGAUGUUAUUAAUACUUUCUUUUAUAGUUUAUAAGUUUAAGCCACAUUUUCAAAGGCCUUCAAUAGAGCACUUUUGUUUAUGAAUUAUCUAAGUUCCAAUUCUGACCAUAUCAUUUCAUUAAUAAUAACAUAGAGGAGCUGGUUACCUCCCAGUAAAGGCCUUCAUAUCCUAUAUGAAUUAACAUAUUAAGAUUUUCUAAUCUGUAUAUUCAUAAAUCCUACAGCUAAUGGAUGGGUGUAGCCAGGGAAGUGGGGUCACCAAUUAUAUAUAGUACCAACAUAGUAGGAUUCAUUAAGUAUUAAAAUCCUGAAACUAGAUUGUAUUUGUUCACAUUAUAGGGGUAUAUCUGUCAACGUGAUCUUCUUCACUCAAAGGAUAAGUCUUUGUCUAGAUAUAGCAAUUGUACUCAGAUGAGAUCCUUGUUCCAGGUCUGAUUUUCAGUCCUGCACUGAGCAGCUGCCAUAGAAAGACAGAAAGCAUUGAUAAGAGCUUUUUUGAUGUUAUAAAACUUAAGAAAAUAAUGGAGAAUUAGCAGGUAUCACAAGACAAGAGAAAGGAAAAAAUAAGGGCUGAAUAUUGGAGAGAAUUAGGAGGUGUCAAAGGAGGUAAAUAAAAGAAUUAAUGGACUAGAAGGAGGAACAAUCCUAGGGAAUUAGCUUAUGUUAGAUUGGGAGGUAAGAAGAAAAAGGGGGGAUACAAUCGAGAAGAAGUAACACAUGUCGUAAAGGAGAUACAAUGAGAGAAAAGAGGGAAGAAAAACUCAGAACCUGAAUUUAUCUAGAAUUUAGGUCUGACAUUAGACAUGGAUCUAGACCUGGAUGUUGGACGGGUGCCCCAGUCAUGAACCUGAAAUGGACCUAGGGUAUGUAUAUUGGAUCUUGACUAUGGACAUGGACCAUGAACCUAUACUGAAUAAGGACAUUGGAAUUGGACCUCGGACCUUUUAUACUUACCUUGAACCACGAUUUCAAACUUAGACAUCAGAUGGAGACCUGGAUCUCAGACCUUGGUGUAAGCCUUGACCGUGUACUUUAACUUGAAUUUAGCACCUGAACUUGGACACUGGAACUGGAUGUGGGGCCUAAAACUUGACACUGUAUUCAUCCAGAACCUCGAAUCUGACCUUAAUUAUGCUCCAUGGUUGUGCACUUGGGCUUUAGUCACUGAGAUUGGACCUAGACAACUAAUCAUAAACUUGAAUCUCAGAUCUUGACCUGCACCUGACCUUAGACCUGGAAUUUCAACACAAACCUCAAUCCUAGACAUAGAUGUGAACCUGAACCUUAAAACUAUGCUCUUGACCCUGGAUCUUUACCUUAUCUUGGACAUUGAAUCUUGAACAUGGAAAUGAAUUUGACCUAGAUGUUAGAACUGAUAUUAGACCUGGACCUUGAACGUGGACAAUAUCUUGAAUUAUGGGAAUGUACCUUGGACUUUGACCUUGGAUGUAGUCUUUAUCCUUAGACAUAGACUUUGGGCCAGCCCUUAGAACUGGACCUAGCCUUCACUUUGUCAUAGAUGUUGACUGUGGACCUCAGAUCUUCACAUGAACUUUGAAAAAAUAUAUUUUUACUUUUAAUUCUUAUGGAUACAUACUAAUAGCCCAUAUUUAUGGGGUACAUGUGACAGCCUGAUACAAGGUUACAGUGUGUAAUGAUCAAAUCAGGGUAAUUGGGGAAUCCAUAACCUCAAGCGUUUAUCAUUUCUUUGUGUUAGGAACACUUCAGUUUUAAUCUUUUAGUUAUUGUAAAAUAAACAAUAAAUUACUGUUAACUGUAGCCACCAUAAUGUACUACCAAACACUAGAUGCUAUUCUUUCUACCAACUGUGUUUUUGUAUCCAUCAACUAUCCCUUCUUUAUCCCCCUUUCCUCACUAUUCUUUCCAGUCUCUGGCAACCAUCAUUCUACUGUCUAUCUUUGUUAGUUGAAUAUUUUUUUUAGCUCUGAUAUACUAGUGAGAACAUGUGAUAUUUGUCUUUCUGUUCCUGGCUUAUUCAACUUAAUAUAAUUUCCUCCAGUUCCAUCCAUGUUGUUGCAAAUGGCAAGACUGCAUUCCUUUCGAUGGCUGAAUAAUAAUCUAUUGUGUACAUAUGCCACAUUUUUGUUGUUUUUCAUUCACUCGUUGAUGGACACUUGGAUUGAGUAUAUAUCUUGGCUAUUGUGAAUUGUUCUGCAAUAAACAUGGGAGGGCAGGUAUUUCUUCAAUAUACUAAUUUAUUUUAUUUAGGGUAUAUACCCAGUGGUGGGAUCCCAGUAGCUGGAUCAUACAACAGUUCUAAUUUUAGUUCUCUGAGGAAUCUCCAUACUGUUCUCCAUAGUGGCUGUACUAGUUUACAUUCCCACCAACAGUAUAUGGGGAUCUUUCUUUCUCCACAUGAUCACCAGCAUUUGUUAUCUUUUUGGAUAAAACUGUUUUAACUGGGGUAAGAUGAUCUCUCAUUGCAGUUUUGAUUUGUAUUUCUCUGAUGAUUAAUGAUGUUGAGCAUUUUUGCAUAUACCUGUUGGCCAUUUGUAUGUUUCCUUUUGAGAAAUGUCUAUUCAUAUCUUUUGCCAUUUUAAAAUUGGAUUAUUUGUUUUUAUUCCUGAGUUGUUUGAGCUCCUUAUUUAUUCUGAGUAUUUAUUACCUGUCAGAUGGGUAAUUUGCAAAUAUGUUCUCCCAUUUUAUGGGUUUUCUCUUCAGCUUGUUGACUGUUUUCUUUUCUGUGCAGAAGCUGUUUAACUUGAUAUAAUUCCAUUUGGACAUGAACUUUGAACCUAGAUUUUGGACCUGCAUUUUUUCAGUUCCUUAAAUAUACUUUCCAUUGCAACUAGGAUUUUAUUUGAAUAGGUGGUAAGAAGUUACUUUGAAGAAGUGCCUGAAAUUGACUUUCUUUGUUUAUAUGCUGCUUAUUUCCACAAACGCUGCUUUGAUUCAUUUUAACUUGUUCUAUCUGGAAUAAAGUACAUUUGAGAUGAAAGUGUUUUUCUGAACUAUUUUGCUGACAGAUGCUUAAUCUGGUUUCAUUCACUAAACACCUGUUUCUCAUUCCAAAUGGAACAAAAAUUAUCAAAAUCAGUGCCCUUUAGAAUCAGAUCAACUCAUUUUCUCACUGCUACCACCAGGUACAUUCUGUUUUAUGCUCUCAAAAAUCCCUAUACAUCUGUCUUUCAGAGCGCUCCUCAUUCUGUAAUUAAUUGAGCUAUUAUUUCAUUAAUUUAUUAAUUAUGGGGUACAUGUGAUAGCCUGAUACAAGGUUACAGUGUGUAAUGAUCAAAUCAAGGUAAUUGGGGAAUCCAUAACCUCAAGCUUUAAUCAUUUCUUUGUGUUAGGAACACUUCA